GAGUCGUAAAUAAGUUCCAAGUCC
Molecule: non-coding RNA, 24 nt
Filed under: Arabidopsis thaliana (thale cress)
Lineage: Eukaryota; Viridiplantae; Streptophyta; Magnoliopsida; Brassicales; Brassicaceae
Source: RNAcentral